This 266-nucleotide long non-coding RNA is filed under the name Ananas comosus (pineapple). RNAcentral's name for it is "long non-coding RNA (ACOM_LNC038279)". The record is from RNAcentral. Lineage: Eukaryota; Viridiplantae; Streptophyta; Magnoliopsida; Poales; Bromeliaceae.
UUUUAAAAUUAUAUAAAAGUCCUUUAUAUAAAAAUUAAAAUAUUAUAAAUUUUAAUUUUAGGAGGCCAAAUUAAUUUUUUUAAUAAAAUUUGUGCCUUGAUUUUUUUUCGAAUUUCUUGAUCCAUUCCCUUCAACUCUUACAGUUUUGUUCCUUUCUAAGCAUAUUGUCGUUAUCGGUGAAUCUGAUAUAUAUUUUUUUUUACUAUUCGAGAUCGAAUUUUUUUUUUUUACUAUCAAAUCUAAAUUUUGGGCCCCCCAUCUUAAUU